RNAcentral lists this transfer RNA (59 nucleotides) under Manacus vitellinus (golden-collared manakin). It matches the Rfam family "tRNA", at positions 8 to 63 of the family's 71-position model. Rfam says of the family: Transfer RNA (tRNA) molecules are approximately 80 nucleotides in length. The record is from Rfam by way of RNAcentral. Lineage: Eukaryota; Metazoa; Chordata; Aves; Passeriformes; Pipridae.
UAGCUCAGUUAGUUAUAGCAUGGUGCUAAUAACACCAAGGUUGCAGGUUCAAGCCCUGU